GACAGAGGGUGCAAACGUUGCUCGGAAUUACUGGGCGUAAAGCGCGUGUAGGCGGUGCCGCACGUCCGAUGUGAAAGCCCGGGGCUCAACCCCGGACGUGCAUUGGAUACGACGGCGCUGGAGUCCUGAAGAGGAGGGCGGAAUUCCCGGUGUAGAGGUGAAAUUCGUAGAUAUUGGGAGGAACACCAGUGGCGAAGGCGGCUACCUGGACCGGUUCUGACGCUGAGGCGCGAAAGCGUGGGUAGCAAACAGG
RNAcentral lists this ribosomal RNA (253 nucleotides) under uncultured bacterium. RNAcentral's name for it is "partial 16S ribosomal RNA". It matches the Rfam family "Bacterial small subunit ribosomal RNA", at positions 524 to 776 of the family's 1533-position model. The record is from RNAcentral.